CCUACGGGAGGCAGCAGUGAGGAAUAUUGGUCAAUGGACGCGAGUCUGAACCAGCCAAGCCGCGUGAAGGAUGACUGCUCUACGAGUUGUAAACUGCUUUUAUACAAGGAUAAACUCAGAUACGUGUGCCUUUCUGAAAGUAUCGUACGAAUAAGGAUCGGCUAACUCCGUGCCAGCAGCCGCGGUAAUACGGAGGAUUCAAGCGUUAUCCGGAUUUAUUGGGUUUAAAGGGUGCGUAGGCGGUCGGAUAAGUUAGUGGUGAAAUCUCGCGGCUCAACUUCGGAAUUGCCUCUGAUACUGUUAGGCUAGAGAGUAGUUGAGGUAGGCGGAAUGUAUGGUGUAGCGGUGAAAUGCUUAGAGAUCAUACAGAACACCGAUUGCGAAGGCAGCUUACCAAGCUACGGCUGACGUUGAGGCACGAAAGCGUGGGGAGCAAACAGGAUUAGAUACCCCGGUAGUC
Molecule: ribosomal RNA, 460 nt
Filed under: uncultured bacterium
Lineage: Bacteria
Description: partial 16S ribosomal RNA
Rfam family: Bacterial small subunit ribosomal RNA
Source: RNAcentral